AAAAAACCACUAGCUGUCUUGUACACAAAACCAGUGGUAUUUUAGGUCUUUAAAUCAGCUUCCUGAAAUAACUUUCCUUAUAUAGCCUCUUUGCUGAUGUGCUCCCCUUCCCAAAACGACGUCUCUGAAACCUUACUUUGUCUCCAUUAACACCCUCUCUUCUCCAAGGUCUUUUGGAAGUGAAGAAAAUGGGGAGGGGGAAGAUAGUGAUAAGAAGGAUUGAUAACUCGACAAGCAGGCAAGUGACCUUCUCAAAGAGGAGGAAUGGAUUGUUGAAGAAAGCGAAAGAACUGGCGAUCCUUUGCGACGCAGAAGUUGGAGUCAUGAUCUUCUCUAGCACCGGCAAGCUCUAUGAUUUCUCCAGCACCAGCAUGAAAUCAGUCAUUGAAAGAUACAACAAAUCAAAAGACGAGCAUCAUCAAAUGGGCAACCCAACCUCUGAAGUCAAGUUCUGGCAAAGGGAGGCAGCAGUGUUGAGACAGCAACUGCAAACCUUGCAAGAAAAUCAUCGGCAAAUGAUGGGUGAACAACUUUCUGGCUUAAGCAUAACAGAUUUGCAGAAUUUGGAGAGCCAAUUGGAAAUGAGUCUUCAGGGUGUUCGCAUGAAAAAGGACCAAAUUUUAAUGGAUCAAAUACAAGAACUAAAUAGAAAGGGCAACCUCAUUCACCAAGAAAAUGUUGAACUCUAUCAGAAGGUCUAUGGAACAAGGGACGUAAACAGAGCAAACAGAAAUUCCCUUCUCACAAAUGGUCUGGCCAUCGGAGAGGAAUCACAUGUACCUGUCCAUCUCCAGCUUAGCCAGCCACAACAACAAAACCAUGAUACACCAGCUACAAAGUUGGGGUACAAUUUCCUCCACAGCACAAGUAUUUAAAUAUGAUUAUCAAUUAGUUUACCAGAGUCUUUGAUGCCAAACUUUUGUCCCCCAUAACUGCAGCAGACUACAACUGCAUUAGCGAAGAUGAGGGAUGCAUCCUCACUGGGAAUGGAUGUUGUGUCAUUUUGAUGACCCAUAAAUUACAAGAUCAUGCUUCUAUUAUUGCAUUGUGAAAAAUUCAAAGCGAUUCCAAGAUACCAAAACCCUCAAAUGUGACAGGAUAUGCACCUCAAUUAUAUGCCUGGUUUCGGACAUACAAAACCCAUAUGACCACUGUGGAAGGAGCAUUAAUUGGUCAGCUAGAAGAAGUCUUUCGAGUUGGAAUCUGAUGCAUGCCAAAUAUGAAAGAGCAGCUGGAGCCUGGCUAGUUGGAAUCUGAUGCGUGCAGUUCAGUUUUUUAAGAAAGUUUGCAGCAGAGAAAACAGGUUUCCCUUCCAAAUGACCUACAACUGUGCAUGAACAUCCAGUUCUUGGAAUAAAUAGGAAAAUAAGAUUUCAAAAACAACUUGAUGGUAGUUAACUCCCUUGCGAACAGGUAUUAAAGAUUCAGGUCUGUUCUCAUCCAGGUCAAAAAUGAAUUUAAGAAUAAGAGUGAGCUCUUGAUUUCUAGAACUUAAUUUCUAAAGGAUCUUUAUUAUUUUUAUAACUAUUCUUCACUUCAAAAUA
Populus trichocarpa (black cottonwood) is the source of this 1544-nucleotide RNA transcript. It is a transcript of the gene named MADS-box transcription factor 23, with no coding region annotated. The record is from RefSeq and is a predicted model, not a curated record. The transcript has 9 exons. Lineage: Eukaryota; Viridiplantae; Streptophyta; Magnoliopsida; Malpighiales; Salicaceae.